Molecule: non-coding RNA, 104 nt
Submitted as: unclassified sequences
Source: Rfam
UAUACCCUAGAUGAUCCGUCCUAGUUACGAAAGUAAAGGAAGAUAUAAUGAGUUACUUAAAAGUAUACGUGAUAAUGCUAGACCUAGGCACGUUAAAAUUAUAU